AUACGGAGGGUGCGAGCGUUAUGCGGAAUCACUGGGCGUAAAGGACGCGUAGGCGGGUUGGCAAGUCAGAUGUGAAAUCCUACAGCUUAACUGUAGAACUGCAUUUGAAACUGCUAACCUAGAGUAUGGGAGGGGGAGAUGGAAUUAGUGGUGUAGGGGUAAAAUCCGUAGAUAUCACUAGGAAUACCGAAAGCGAAGGCGAUCUCCUGGAACAUAACUGACGCUAAGGCGUGAAAGCGUGGGGAGCAAACAGGAUUAGAAACCCUAGUAGUCC
Molecule: ribosomal RNA, 274 nt
Filed under: uncultured bacterium
Lineage: Bacteria
Description: partial 16S ribosomal RNA
Rfam family: Bacterial small subunit ribosomal RNA
Source: RNAcentral